GGUUUGGCGGCUCAGUGGUAGAGCACUUGCUUAGCAUGCAUGAGGCACUGAGUUCAAUCCUCAGCACCA
This 69-nucleotide transfer RNA is filed under the name Ictidomys tridecemlineatus (thirteen-lined ground squirrel). RNAcentral describes it as "Spermophilus tridecemlineatus (thirteen-lined ground squirrel) tRNA". It matches the Rfam family "tRNA". From Rfam's summary of the family: Transfer RNA (tRNA) molecules are approximately 80 nucleotides in length. The record is from Rfam by way of RNAcentral. Lineage: Eukaryota; Metazoa; Chordata; Mammalia; Rodentia; Sciuridae.